AUACGUAGGUGGCGAGCGUUGUCCGGAUUUACUGGGCGUAAAGCGCGCGCAGGCGGCCGGCCAAGUCUCGGGUGAAAGCUCCCGGCUCAACCGGGAGAGGUCUCGAGAUACUGGUCGGCUCGAGGGGAGCAGAGGAGAGUGGAAUUCCCGGUGUAGCGGUGAUAUGCGUAGAUAUCGGGAGGAACACCGGUGGCGAAGGCGGCUCUCUGGGCUCUCGCUGACGCUGAGGCGCGAAAGCGUGGGGAGCAAACCGGAUUAGAAACCCUAGUAGUCC
Molecule: ribosomal RNA, 274 nt
Filed under: uncultured bacterium
Lineage: Bacteria
Description: partial 16S ribosomal RNA
Rfam family: Bacterial small subunit ribosomal RNA
Source: RNAcentral